Long non-coding RNA from Nanorana parkeri, 224 nucleotides. RefSeq lists it as uncharacterized. The transcript is spliced from 3 exons. Lineage: Eukaryota; Metazoa; Chordata; Amphibia; Anura; Dicroglossidae. The record is from RefSeq and is a predicted model, not a curated record.
CAACAACAUCUCAAUUCUUGAACUUCUGCUUGAGGAAGAUGAAUACUUACUCUCAGACUGCAGUGUCCACGGGAUGUCCAUAUGCAGAUGAAGUGGAUGCAUUUAAGUGGGGAUCCAGGGAAAGUACUCCUUGCAGUUUUAAGAACAUCUUAAAUCAAAUAUUAAUUCCAUACCCGGAGAAGUCCUUUGCUGCUUUUCAAUCUUUGGAAUCUGAAGAAGAAACU